AUUGAACGCUGGCGGCAGGCCUAACACAUGCAAGUCGAGCGGAUGAAGGGAGCUUGCUCCUGGAUUCAGCGGCGGACGGGUGAGUAAUGCCUAGGAAUCUGCCUGGUAGUGGGGGAUAACGUCCGGAAACGGGCGCUAAUACCGCAUACGUCCUGAGGGAGAAAGUGGGGGAUCUUCGGACCUCACGCUAUCAGAUGAGCCUAGGUCGGAUUAGCUAGUUGGUGGGGUAAAGGCCUACCAAGGCGACGAUCCGUAACUGGUCUGAGAGGAUGAUCAGUCACACUGGAACUGAGACACGGUCCAGACUCCUACGGGAGGCAGCAGUGGGGAAUAUUAGACAAUGGGCGAAAGCCUGAUCCAGCCAUGCCGCGUGUGUGAAGAAGGUCUUCGAAUUGUAAAGCACUUUAAGUUGGGAGGAAGGGCAGUAAGUUAAUACCUUGCUGUUUUGACGUUACCAACAGAAUAAGCACCGGCUAACUUCGUG
RNAcentral lists this ribosomal RNA (484 nucleotides) under uncultured bacterium. RNAcentral's name for it is "partial 16S ribosomal RNA". It matches the Rfam family "Bacterial small subunit ribosomal RNA", at positions 30 to 507 of the family's 1533-position model. The record is from RNAcentral.